AACGAACGCUGGCGGCAUGCCUAACACAUGCAAGUCGAACGAGACCUUCGGGUCUAGUGGCGCACGGGUGCGUAACGCGUGGGAACCUGCCCUUAGGUUCGGAAUAACUCCCCGAAAGGGGUGCUAAUACCGGAUAAUGUCUUCGGACCAAAGAUUUCUCGCCUUUGGAUGGGCCCGCGUUGGAUUAGCUGGUUGGUAGGGUAAAAGCCUACCAAGGCGACGAUCCAUAGCUGGUCUGAGAGGAUGAACAGCCACACUGGGACUGAGACACGGCCCAGACUCCGACGGGAGGGAGCGGUGGGGAAUAUUGGACGAUGGGGGAAAGCCUAAUCCAGCAAUGCCGCGUGAGUGAGGAAGGCCUUAGGGUUGUAAAGCUCUUUUACCCGGGAUGAUAAUGACAGUACCGGGAAAAGAAGCUCCGGCUAACUCCGUG
RNAcentral lists this ribosomal RNA (433 nucleotides) under uncultured bacterium. RNAcentral describes it as "partial 16S ribosomal RNA". It matches the Rfam family "Bacterial small subunit ribosomal RNA", at positions 29 to 507 of the family's 1533-position model. The record is from RNAcentral.